Molecule: ribosomal RNA, 459 nt
Filed under: uncultured bacterium
Lineage: Bacteria
Description: partial 16S ribosomal RNA
Rfam family: Bacterial small subunit ribosomal RNA
Source: RNAcentral
CCUACGGGCGGCUGCAGUGAGGAAUAUUGGUCAAUGGGCGGGAGCCUGAACCAGCCAAGCCGCGUGAGGGAAGAAGGUACAGCGUAUCGUAAACCUCUUUUGUCAGGGAACAAAGGCGGGGACUAGUCCCCGGAUGAGGGUACCUGAAGAAAAAGCAUCGGCUAACUCCGUGCCAGCAGCCGCGGUAAUACGGAGGAUGCGAGCGUUAUCCGGAUUUAUUGGGUUUAAAGGGUGCGCAGGCGGCCUGUUAAGUCAGCGGGAAAAGCCCGGGGCUCAACCCCGGCGAGCCGUUGAAACUGGCGGGCGGGAGUUGGAGAGAAGUACGCGGAAUGCGCGGUGUAGCGGUGAAAUGCUUAGAGAUCGCGCAGAAACCCGAUUGCGAAGGCAGCGUACCGGCUCCACACUGACGCUGAGGCACGAAAGCGUGGGUAUCGAACAGGAUUAGAUACCCCUGUAGUC